UCACUCUUGGAUGGACCUGCGGUGCAUUAGCUAGUUGGUAAGGUAACGGCUUACCAAGGCAAUGAUGCAUAGCCGAGUUGAGAGACUGAUCGGCCACAUUGGGACUGAGACACGGCCCAAACUCCUACGGGAGGCAGCAGUAGGGAAUCUUCCACAAUGGACGAAAGUCUGAUGGAGCAACGCCGCGUGAGUGAAGAAGGGUUUCGGCUCGUAAAGCUCUGUUGGUAGUGAAGAAAGAUAGAGGUAGUAACUGGCCUUUAUUUGACGGUAAUUACUUAGAAAGUCACGGCUAACUACGUGCCAGCAGCCGCGGUAAUACGUAGGUGGCAAGCGUUGUCCGGAUUUAUUGGGCGUAAAGCGAGUGCAGGCGGUUCAAUAAGUCUGAUGUGAAAGCCUUCGGCUCAACCGGAGAAUUGCAUCAGAAACUGUUGAACUUGAGUGCAGAAGAGGAGAGUGGAACUCCAUGUGUAGCGGUGGAAUGCGUAGAUAUAUGGAAGAACACCAGUGGCGAAGGCGGCUCUCUGGUCUGCAACUGACGCUGAGGCUCGAAAGCAUGGGUAGCGAACAGGAUUAGAUACCCUGGUAGUCCAUGCCGUAAACGAUGAGUGCUAAGUGUUGGGAGGUUUCCGCCUCUCAGUGCU
RNAcentral lists this ribosomal RNA (641 nucleotides) under uncultured bacterium. RNAcentral describes it as "bacterial SSU rRNA". It matches the Rfam family "Bacterial small subunit ribosomal RNA", at positions 215 to 847 of the family's 1533-position model. The record is from RNAcentral.